This 497-nucleotide ribosomal RNA is filed under the name uncultured bacterium. RNAcentral's name for it is "partial 16S ribosomal RNA". It matches the Rfam family "Bacterial small subunit ribosomal RNA", at positions 28 to 507 of the family's 1533-position model. The record is from RNAcentral.
GAUGAACGCUGGCGGCGUGCCUAAUACAUGCAAGUCGAGCGAACGGACGAGAAGCUUGCUUCUCUGAUGUUAGCGGCGGACGGGUGAGUAACACGUGGAUAACCUACCUAUAAGACUGGGAUAACUUCGGGAAACCGAAGCUAAUACCGGAUGAUAUUUUGAACCGCAUGGUUCAAAAGUGAAAGACGGUCUUGCUGUCACUUAUAGAUGGAUCCGCGCUGCAUUAGCUAGUUGGUAAGGUAACGGCUUACCAAGGCAACGAUGCAUAGCCGACCUGAGAGGGUGAUCGGCCACACUGGAACUGAGACACGGUCCAGACUCCUACGGGAGGCAGCAGUAGGGAAUCUUCCGCAAUGGGCGAAAGCCUGACGGAGCAACGCCGCGUGAGUGAUGAAGGUCUUCGGAUCGUAAAACUCUGUUAUUAGGGAAGAACAUAUGUGUAAGUAACUGUGCACAUCUUGACGGUACCUAACCAGAAAGCCACGGCUAACUACGUG